Molecule: long non-coding RNA, 491 nt
Filed under: Mytilus galloprovincialis (Mediterranean mussel)
Lineage: Eukaryota; Metazoa; Mollusca; Bivalvia; Mytilida; Mytilidae
Source: RNAcentral
UGCGCGAAAAGAAGUGCCUGCUAAAAAAGUGUCCAUGCCGUUUCUAAAAGACGGAGAAAUCCUCCGAAGAGCAGGGAGAUCAAAGGAAAUACUUGAGAUGAACAAAAAUAAAUCAAAUACAACUUUGCAUGACGAAAUUGAAGAAAUGGUAAUAGACACAAAGGGGAGUACUGACAGUAUAACAUGGAAAGACGGAAGACGAAUUGUGGAGCUUUUUAGUCUGGCACUGAAUAACUGCCAAAACUGCACGGCCCAGCGGAAUCUGCUCAACAUAGAGAGAGAAAAAUUGCAAGGAUGUGGGGUCUAUCUUACUAUUCGUUGCUUAAACUGUAACAUGCUGAAUAACAUUUUAACAAAUAAGACACAAUUCGGAACAAAAGGACCUGCAAUAGCUAACUAUGAGUAUUGAUAGCUGCUUAACGUCCAGCGGCAAAUAUUUAAUUGCACAUUUAUGACAUCCAAAUGUUAUUUUAAUGAAACUUAAAGAAAUG